UUAUUCGGUUGUUUAAAGUGGACGCUUCAGUAGAAGUAAGACGUGGUGCAAUCAAAACUCUUACAAGAUUGAUACCUUGUGUGCAGGUUACUGGACACAUAUCUUCGCUUGUGCAUCACUUGAAGCUUUUCUUGGACGG
Molecule: long non-coding RNA, 139 nt
Organism: Solanum tuberosum (potato)
Lineage: Eukaryota; Viridiplantae; Streptophyta; Magnoliopsida; Solanales; Solanaceae
Exons: 2
Source: RefSeq, a predicted model, not a curated record